Molecule: ribosomal RNA, 460 nt
Filed under: uncultured bacterium
Lineage: Bacteria
Description: partial 16S ribosomal RNA
Rfam family: Bacterial small subunit ribosomal RNA
Source: RNAcentral
CCUACGGGCGGCAGCAGUGAGGAAUAUUGGUCAAUGGACGAGAGUCUGAACCAGCCAAGUAGCGUGAAGGAUGACUGCCCUAUGGGUUGUAAACUUCUUUUAUAUAGGAAUAAAAUGUUCCACGUGUGCCUUUUUGUAUGUACCUUAUGAAUAAGGAUCGGCUAACUCCGUGCCAGCAGCCGCGGUAAUACGGAGGAUCCGAGCGUUAUCCGGAUUUAUUGGGUUUAAAGGGAGCGUAGGUGGGUUGUUAAGUCAGUUGUGAAAGUUUGCGGCUCAACCGUAAAAUUGCAAUUGAAACUGGCAGUCUUGAGUACAGUAGAGGUAGGCGGAAUUCGUGGUGUAGCGGUGAAAUGCUUAGAUAUCACGAAGAACCCCGAUUGCGAAGGCAGCUUACUAAACUGCGACUGACAUUGAUGCUCGAAAGUGUGGGUAUCAAACAGGAUUAGAUACCCGUGUAGUC